Long non-coding RNA from Oreochromis niloticus (Nile tilapia), 627 nucleotides. RefSeq lists it as uncharacterized. The record is from RefSeq and is a predicted model, not a curated record. The transcript is spliced from 2 exons. Lineage: Eukaryota; Metazoa; Chordata; Actinopteri; Cichliformes; Cichlidae.
ACGGAGAUGGAACAACUUCCAACUUUGUCCGACAUUUGAAGUUGCAUAAAGAACGCUACACCACCACAUGAAAAGAUUGGUGAAGCAGAUGUGAAGAGUGACGAGACGAGGACAGACAUUUGUAUUUGCUGCACCAUUAUUGCAACCUGCAGGUGACUUUAUAAUACCAGUACUCUUCAGCAGUGGAUCAGUGAAGAUCAAAGGGAAAUCUAUUAGAAUGAGAGUCUAAGAGCAGCAGAAAAAGACCCAGAUCAGGACCAGGAUCAGAAUUAUCUUCACUUGAUGAGUAUAUUUACACUGAAAGAGCUCUCUUAUCUCAGGGGGUCACCUUUAUUCUUGUAGAAUGUUAAGUUGCUGUGUACAGAGAGAAAGCAGUUUGGCACUUCAGUUCUAAUAUAAUUUCAAAAAGAUAAAAUAAUAUUCAGGCUACAGCAAGGAUGUAAAACAUGUAUAAAAAAUGACUUGUUAAAUGAUUUUUCCUGAGGUGGGUGAGGCCCCUACCAAUCAGUGGCUGUUGUGUUUACUCGCUCUGCUGUAGUAGUGUUACUGCUGUGUGUGAUAUAUCCAAAACAAAAAUGGUGUAAAACAAGUGUGGUAAUGUGUUCAAUAAAUAAAAAGUGAGUCUCG